Molecule: ribosomal RNA, 281 nt
Filed under: uncultured prokaryote
Description: partial 16S ribosomal RNA
Rfam family: Bacterial small subunit ribosomal RNA
Source: RNAcentral
UACGUAGGGGGCUAGCGUUAUCCGGAAUUACUGGGCGUAAAGGGUGCGUAGGUGGUUUCUUAAGUCAGAGGUGAAAGGCUACGGCUCAACCGUAGUAAGCCUUUGAAACUGGGAAACUUGAGUGCAGGAGAGGAGAGUGGAAUUCCUAGUGUAGCGGUGAAAUGCGUAGAUAUUAGGAGGAACACCAGUUACGAAGGCGGCUCUCUGGACUGUAACUGACACUGAGGCACGAAAGCGUGGGGAGCAAACAGGAUUAGAUACCCUGGUAGUCCCUGAGCGGG